Molecule: long non-coding RNA, 3560 nt
Filed under: Panax ginseng (ginseng)
Lineage: Eukaryota; Viridiplantae; Streptophyta; Magnoliopsida; Apiales; Araliaceae
Description: long non-coding RNA (PGIN_LNC017124)
Source: RNAcentral
CUAAUUUCACCAGCUCAACUCUCUCACUCAGAUAUGCAGCCCAUCUCAUUCCCCUCCCUCUCGACUCCCUCUAACCCUAGAAAUAUUGGUGGCGUAGUGGUGGUGGCAGCGAUGACAUAGUGGUGGCGCCAUUCUACAAGCGACGUUUAGAGCCGAAGAGGUGAACCGCGUCUCUCUGAAAACCCUUGUUAGCGUACUUUGUAAUCGAAGCUUCUUCAAUGGCGAAUAACAAUUUACCUCAAAGAAUUAUCAAAGUAAGUCACUCGAUCUUCCUCUUCUCCUAUUUCUCAAUCCCUUCCCCAAUUCAUUUUGAUUUAAUUUCUUCGUCCUUGUUUAGAAUUUUUCUGUUUGAAUAAUUUAUUUUUGGUCGAUUCAUGUCUGCUUUGAAGUUUUCAGAAAGACUGGACUACAUUUCUUGAGAAUCAGGUGCUUUCUCCUGCGAUGUAUAAGCAUAUUUUCCUUGGACAACCUUUCCACCUUAGCUUUUUGAAAGAGUAAUAUUGGAGUUAUUUGUGGAUCGUGACACAUUUCUUCUUGUGGUAAAUUAUUGUAUUGGCUUCUUGUUGGAUGGUUUUGUAUACUUGUCUACUCAACCUUGCCAUUGCUUUCCUUUUGUUAAAUAAUAAGGUUAGUGUGAUUACAUUGCUUAUGCCCAUUUUAGUUUACCUCAUAUUUUGUGAUGGAUCUUCCUUUUAAUUGCUUUCCAUUUGACUUGUAAACUACUCCCAAUGUCCAUGGGUUCUACUCUUUUUGGACAGUUCUCUAAUGUACUUAUACUUAUUUAAAAAAAUAAAUUAAUGCGACCUUAUACUUCAACUGAUUUUAGUUAUGAAUUAUUGUUUGUACAUUUGGUGAUUUGUACACCUUAAUGAUUAGAUAAGUAUGUGCAAUAUAUGUAAGAUUGCUUCAUCAUAUCAGUCUCGUAUGUAUCCUCUUGCCGUGCUCUCAUAUGUAUCACCACAUUUGCAUUGCCCAGUUGUUGACUAAGAGUAACUCAUGCCCCUUGUGCCGAUGACGUUUCACAACACUGACUGAUUCGGCAUUGCACAUCUUAGAGCUGCGGACCUUUCAUGAGUACUGAUUCUGCAUUGCACGCCUUAGGUAACAUGUUUAAUUAUUAGGGUUAAUAUGCGUCGUCCUUCUUAAUUAUAUUUUUUAUGUGCCUUCGCCUUUGGAGUACUGAUUGGAACUUCUGGUAUUUGCUACAAAUUACCUAUAGCUAAUGCAUUAAUUGGUCGUAUCUUCUCACUGCAAAUUUCAUAAUGCAAAUUUCAUAAUGCUAUUUUGACUAUUACACUCACCUAAAAUAUAUAUUCCCCACUCUUAUAGUCACGGUUUUUCCUACAAUGUGCCAUGCUCAGUCUAUUUUCCCACUAAAGCUCUAACUGGAAAUCCAGGGGGAGUCUGAAUUUGGUGUAGAACCAUUCUUUAGUAAUGGUGUUCCAGAAUAAGACAUGAUUAAAACCUCACAUAGAUUAAGCUGAAUAAUAAAUUUGAUGGUUGGCCCAUGCUCGAUAUAUUUUGCUUAUAAAGCUCUAACUGAAAGUCUAGGGGAAUCUGAAUUUGGUGUAGAACCAGUAUUUUAUGAUGGUAUACCAAAAAAAAACAUGAUUAAAACCUCACAAGAUUAAGCUGAAUAGUUUGGUGCAUGGUCAGAGCGUAGGUGAUGAAUUUGCAGAUAAUAAAGAUCAAAAUUCUGCAAAAGAUGCGGUUCUAAAUAAUAUGAACCAAGAUACUAGUCAGAAUCUUACCAACUCUGCUAAUAUAUCUAUGGAUACAUCACAAGUUACUGCAUAUGUUCAUGAAUCCAUUUCUGAGCAUCAGCUGGUUGAUGUUUCUGGUAAGCCAUAUUAUAUCUACUGAAUAUCUUUAUUUUAGAAUGUUACUAUCUGACCUAUACUCUUUCCAUUCCACGAGCGGCGCUUUUAAACAGUACUAUAUCAAUUAUAACUGCACAUGUUUCUAUUAGGCAUUAUAUGCUUCUAUUUUAGAGUUUGUGAAGUGAAUGUUGUAAUCAGGUAGGCAUAAGAUUUUACACAAAAGGGUAAGUCGAUUAGGCCAUUGUAUUUGCUGUGGGAAAUGGACUCGAUGUAGAGUUACCAUUCCAUCAUUACUGCACGAUAUGGCUGCUCUACACUUGAGCCCGAUCUUUCAUGAGUGCACUAAACUAUGAUGCCAGCGCCUAUUUUUUGGGCCGGCAUACCAUGUUAACCUAUGUUUUGUUUUUAUUCAGAAACAAUAUUUUGUUGUGUAGUUCAUUUUAGUUUUAUAUGCUACUGUUCCAAGUUUGACCAUCCCUUACCUUUGACUACCCUUGGUACGGAAAGAAAAGGAAAAUGAUGAAUCAACUAUAUCAUCAAAAUAAUUCAGUAGUAAUUGUUUCACCAUUUUAGAUUUAUAACUCCUUUAAAUAAAUCUAGUUGGUGACAUGGAUCCCAUCUCAUGGUUGAACCCACUGUCCUAUUGUUUCUUGUCUUUCUUGUUUUAAUAUUUUCUUGUAAAUGAAAUGCUACAACGUGCUACAUCGUGAGAGCCAACUGUUAUACACUGUGGAUGUUUAUGAAUAUGUUCACUAUGUGAAGUUCCUUAUGAAAAAAACAUUUAAACCUGGCAACUCUUGAGUGCAAAGUCCAGCAAUGGAUAUCAUUUGAAGGAGUUGUGUUUCAGGUGUAAAUGUGUACCUGAGGUCCUGAACUCUAACCUGCCAUUUCCCACAAAGUUGGUUGGGACUUGGGACUAAACUUGUGCAUAAAUUUGAUCACUAUUGUGACCUGGUUAGGACUCAGUAAUCAGUAGUUUGUAUAUGGGUCUGGAUCCAGUGGUGGUCAGUAAAUUAAUUAUAAUAUUAAUGUUUCUAUCCUCUGGACUACUGUAUCUACAUGAAUGGGCUCUCCUCAUCUUCACUUAGUAAAGCCUAAUCCCAACUAUUUGACGCUGGUUAAAUGAAUUUUGUUUUAACCCUCCAUAUGAGUUUGUUUUGUAUAUAUAUAGAUGGGUGAUAGAUAAUCAGAUUGAUAAUAUGGUUUAAACCCAGGAUACUAAUAUAGGUGUAUUUCAUAUUGAUAUAAAAUUUUAAUCAAAGAAGUCUGGUGUUUCUAGGUGUUGUACAUCACAUAUUUCACUAACGUGUUGCUUCAUUUUCUUUCUUGUAGCUUCUUGGGAGGAGCAGUGGAUUUCAUGUGGCAUCAACUUAUCGGCUGUGUACGAAAUGUCUUUGGCAUCAACUCAUUGAUUCAUUUGUUGUUUCUACAGUGCUAUGUAACAUGUUCAUAUAUAUUUAUAUUGAAAAGUGAUUUUGAGAUGCAUAUAUGGAUAGUUUGAUAUAUAUUUUGUAGAUGUAGUAAUUUGAAACUGUAAACGAAUGGUAUUAUUGGAAUAUAUUUUGAAUGGUUGAUACAUUUUGGCUUUAAAUUUAAAUGAGAAUUUAGACUUUUUAGCUAUAUAUCACGGCAUUAGCAUAUUGCAGGUGCAUUGGUAAUAUAGGUGAACAACAACAUUUUUUUCCUUUUUUUUUCUUUAUCUACAACAUUUUAAAAUUGUUGUAUAUUUGUAUAAAUAAA